This 690-nucleotide ribosomal RNA is filed under the name uncultured bacterium. RNAcentral's name for it is "bacterial SSU rRNA". It matches the Rfam family "Bacterial small subunit ribosomal RNA", at positions 141 to 851 of the family's 1533-position model. The record is from RNAcentral.
GGAUAACAUACCGAAAGGUAUGCUAAUACGGGAUAAUAUAUUUGAGAGGCAUCUCUUAAAUAUCAAAGGUGAGCCAGUACAGGAUGGACCCGCGUCUGAUUAGCUAGUUGGUAAGGUAACGGCUUACCAAGGCGACGAUCAGUAGCCGACCUGAGAGGGUGAUCGGCCACAUUGGAACUGAGACACGGUCCAAACUCCUACGGGAGGCAGCAGUGGGGAAUAUUGCACAAUGGGCGAAAGCCUGAUGCAGCAACGCCGCGUGAGUGAUGAAGGCCUUCGGGUCGUAAAACUCUGUCCUCAAGGAAGAUAAUGACGGUACUUGAGGAGGAAGCCCCGGCUAACUACGUGCCAGCAGCCGCGGUAAUACGUAGGGGGCUAGCGUUAUCCGGAUUUACUGGGCGUAAAGGGUGCGUAGGCGGUCUUUCAAGUCAGGAGUGAAAGGCUACGGCUCAACCGUAGUAAGCUCUUGAAACUGGGAGACUUGAGUGCAGGAGAGGAGAGUGGAAUUCCUAGUGUAGCGGUGAAAUGCGUAGAUAUUAGGAGGAACACCAGUUGCGAAGGCGGCUCUCUGGACUGUAACUGACGCUGAGGCACGAAAGCGUGGGGAGCAAACAGGAUUAGAUACCCUGGUAGUCCACGCUGUAAACGAUGAGUACUAGGUGUCGGGGGUUACCCCCUUCGGUGCCGCAG